Molecule: ribosomal RNA, 121 nt
Organism: Thalassophryne amazonica
Lineage: Eukaryota; Metazoa; Chordata; Actinopteri; Batrachoidiformes; Batrachoididae
Source: RefSeq, a predicted model, not a curated record
ACUUACAGGCCAUACCACUCUGAAAACGCCUGAUCUCGUCUGAUCUCGGAAUGCGAAGCAGAGUCGGGCCUGGUUAGUACUUGGAUGGGAGACCGCCUGGGAAUACCAGGUGCUGUAAGCC